CGCCAGCAGCCGCGGUAAGACGUAGGGCGCAAGCGUUGUCCGGAUUUAUUGGGCGUAAAGAGCUCGUAGGCGGCUUGUUGCGUCGACUGUGAAAACCCGUGGCUCAACCAUGUGGUCUGCAGUCGAUACGGGCAGGCUAGAAUUCGGUAGGGGAGACUGGAAUUCCUGGUGUAGCGGUGAAAUGCGCAGAUAUCAGGAGGAACACCGGUGGCGAAGGCGGGUCUCUGGGCCGAUAUUGACGCUGAGGAGCGAAAGCGUGGGGAGCGAACAGGAUUAGAUACCCUGGUAGUCCACGCUGUAAACGUUGGGCGCUAGGUGUGGGGGGCCUCUCCGGCUCUCUGUGCCGCAGCUAACGCAUUAAGCGCCCCGCCUGGGGAGUACGGCCGCAAGGCUAAAACUCAAAGGAAUUGACGGGGGCCCGCACA
This 425-nucleotide ribosomal RNA is filed under the name uncultured bacterium. RNAcentral's name for it is "bacterial SSU rRNA". It matches the Rfam family "Bacterial small subunit ribosomal RNA", at positions 506 to 927 of the family's 1533-position model. The record is from RNAcentral.